RNAcentral lists this ribosomal RNA (400 nucleotides) under uncultured bacterium. RNAcentral's name for it is "bacterial SSU rRNA". It matches the Rfam family "Bacterial small subunit ribosomal RNA", at positions 355 to 772 of the family's 1533-position model. The record is from RNAcentral.
UGGGGAAUAUUGGACAAUGGGCGCAAGCCUGAUCCAGCAAUGCCGCGUGGGUGAAGAAGGUCUUCGGAUUGUAAAGCCCUUUCGACGGGGACGAUGAUGACGGUACCCGUAGAAGAAGCCCCGGCUAACUUCGUGCCAGCAGCCGCGGUAAUACGAAGGGGGCUAGCGUUGCUCGGAAUGACUGGGCGUAAAGGGCGCGUAGGCGGAUUGUACAGUCAGAUGUGAAAUUCCCGGGCUCAACCUGGGGGCUGCAUUUGAUACGUAUGAUCUAGAGUCCGGAAGAGGGUGGUGGAAUUCCCAGUGUAGAGGUGAAAUUCGUAGAUAUUGGGAAGAACACCGGUGGCGAAGGCGGCCACCUGGUCCGGUACUGACGCUGAGGCGCGAAAGCGUGGGGAGCAAA